GUGGGGGAUAUUGCACAAUGGAGGAAACUCUGAUGCAGCGACGCCGCGUGAGUGAAGAAGUAUUUCGGUAUGUAAAGCUCUAUCAGCAGGGAAGAUAAUGACAGUACCUGACUAAGAAGCCCCGGCUAACUACGUGCCAGCAGCCGCGGUAAUACGUAGGGGGCAAGCGUUAUCCGGAUGUACUGGGUGUAAAGGGAGCGUAGACGGAAUGGCAAGUCUGAAGUGAAAUCCUGCGGCUGAACUGCAGAAUUGCUUUGGAAACUGUCAAUCUGGAGUGUUGGAGAGGUAAGCGGAAUUCCUGGUGUAGCGGUGAAAUGCGUAGAUAUCAGGAAGAACACCGGAGGCGAAGGCGGCUUACGGGACAAUAACUGACGUUGAGGCUCGAAAGCGUGGGAAGCAAACAGGAUUAGAUACCCUAGUAGUCC
RNAcentral lists this ribosomal RNA (425 nucleotides) under uncultured bacterium. Its description in RNAcentral is "partial 16S ribosomal RNA". It matches the Rfam family "Bacterial small subunit ribosomal RNA", at positions 354 to 796 of the family's 1533-position model. The record is from RNAcentral.